Molecule: transfer RNA, 131 nt
Filed under: Caballeronia sp. LZ031
Lineage: Bacteria; Pseudomonadati; Pseudomonadota; Betaproteobacteria; Burkholderiales; Burkholderiaceae
Also listed under: 1 other name
Description: tRNA-Arg
Rfam family: tRNA (bases 71-120)
Source: RNAcentral
ACGCAGUGUGCUCAAACUGUGCUCAAUUUCUUCGAAGCUGGAUACAAGUCAAUACCCGCAAGGGUUUGACGCUAAUGAGCAUCGGCCUUCUAAGCCGAGGGGCGGGGGUUCGAGUCCCUCCUGCCGUGCCA